GGAGAGAUGGCUGAGCGGUUUAAAGUACCACCUUGGAAAGGUGGCGUGCGCGAAAGUGUACCGGGAGUUCGAAUCUCCCUCUCUCCG
RNAcentral lists this transfer RNA (87 nucleotides) under Candidatus Parcubacteria bacterium. RNAcentral describes it as "tRNA-Ser". It matches the Rfam family "tRNA". Rfam says of the family: Transfer RNA (tRNA) molecules are approximately 80 nucleotides in length. Their secondary structure includes four short double-helical elements and three loops (D, anti-codon, and T loops). Further hydrogen bonds mediate the characteristic L-shaped molecular structure. tRNAs have two regions of fundamental functional importance: the anti-codon, which is responsible for specific mRNA codon recognition, and the 3' end, to which the tRNAs corresponding amino acid is attached (by aminoacyl-tRNA synthetases). tRNAs cope with the degeneracy of the genetic code in two manners: having more than one tRNA (with a specific anti-codon) for a particular amino acid; and 'wobble' base-pairing, i.e. permitting non-standard base-pairing at the 3rd anti-codon position. The record is from RNAcentral. Lineage: Bacteria; Candidatus Parcubacteria.